CGACUUUUAAUACAGCAGCCGAAACAAAACCACAACCAAAAUAAAUACAAACACAUAAAUAUAAAGACACCGAUCAUAAUAGACGAUAUUAGAUCCAUUUUCGUUUGCAUAUAAUAAACACUAAAACUAAAUGUUCGUACUUUUAAUAAUAUCUUAUCGUUUCAUAUCUAUAUAAAAAGUCGUGACGACAUAAAUAAGUUAUGUAUGUAUGAUAAUCCAUUCUUUUUCACUUUUCGAAAACACAAUGAAGUGAACGAAUGAACAGUCGGAUACUAACGGCUGCGACGAACCAAGUGAUUGUCCAAUUGACUAGUGUGUCGGAAAUUGGUAUUAAUAUUUCCUUUGGUUUUAUGAAUACAGUGCUAUGAUUUCAUUUAGGUAUUUUAGUCCAUUAUUAUUCAGUUGGAAUGUUUUUUAAUGUUAUAAUCAUUUUAAAUGUUUCAAAAAUUUAUGUAUGUAAAACACCAGCACAACCAAUGUUUCAUAUUUCUGUAUACAAGCCAUUCUUUAUUGUUGUACGUUGUAAUAUUCCGUGAUCCCCAGCGUGGUAAUCUGCAGUGAAAGCCCGAUCGACCAGCAGAUCAAACGCCGGAAAUGGAGCUGGAUUAGCCACAAUCUCCGGAGGGAUUCUAACCAUAUAUAGGAGGUAAGCCCUAGACUGGAACCCCCAAGGAAAACGCAAACGUGGCCGUCGAAAAAAAACCUGGCGGAGAAGCCAAGGUCAUCGGAAAGACCUGGAGUGAGAUCAAGCGAGACACUCAGGACUGCA
This 769-nucleotide unclassified non-coding RNA is filed under the name Melitaea cinxia (Glanville fritillary). Its description in RNAcentral is "misc RNA ENSMCXG00005004010.1". Lineage: Eukaryota; Metazoa; Arthropoda; Insecta; Lepidoptera; Nymphalidae. The record is from RNAcentral.